AUCAGUAGCUCAGCUGGAUAGAGCAACGGCCUUCUAAGCCGUGGGUCGAGGGUUCGAGUCCCCCCUGGU
RNAcentral lists this transfer RNA (69 nucleotides) under human gut metagenome. It matches the Rfam family "tRNA". Rfam says of the family: Transfer RNA (tRNA) molecules are approximately 80 nucleotides in length. Their secondary structure includes four short double-helical elements and three loops (D, anti-codon, and T loops). Further hydrogen bonds mediate the characteristic L-shaped molecular structure. tRNAs have two regions of fundamental functional importance: the anti-codon, which is responsible for specific mRNA codon recognition, and the 3' end, to which the tRNAs corresponding amino acid is attached (by aminoacyl-tRNA synthetases). tRNAs cope with the degeneracy of the genetic code in two manners: having more than one tRNA (with a specific anti-codon) for a particular amino acid; and 'wobble' base-pairing, i.e. permitting non-standard base-pairing at the 3rd anti-codon position. The record is from RNAcentral.